UAAAUUGCCGGCGGGCCUACACAUGCAAGUCGAGCGGUAGCACAGAGAGCUUGCUCUCGGGUGACGAGCGGCGGCCGGGUGAGUAAUGUCUGGGAAACUGCCUGAUGGAGGGGGAUAACUACUGGAAACGGUAGCUAAUACCGCAUAAUGUCGCAAGACCAAAGAGGGGGACCUUCGGGCCUCUUGCCAUCAGAUGUGCCCAGAUGGGAUUAGCUAGUAGGUGGGGUAACGGCUCACCUAGGCGACGAUCCCUAGCUGGUCUGAGAGGAUGACCAGCCACACUGGAACUGAGACACGGUCCAGACUCCUACGGGAGGCAGCAGUGGGGAAUAUUGCACAAUGGGCGCAAGCCUGAUGCAGCCAUGCCGCGUGUAUGAAGAAGGCCUUCGGGUUGUAAAGUACUUUCAGCGGGGAGGAAGGUGUUGAGGUUAAUAACCUCAGCAAUUGACGUUACCCGCAGAAGAAGCACCGGCUAACUCCGUGCCAGCAGCCGCGGUAAUACGGAGGGUGCAAGCGUUAAUCGGAAUUACUGGGCGUAAAGCGCACGCAGGCGGUCUGUCAAGUCGGAUGUGAAAUCCCCGGGCUCAACCUGGGAACUGCAUUCGAAACUGGCAGGCUAGAGUCUUGUAGAGGGGGGUAGAAUUCCAGGUGUAGCGGUGAAAUGCGUAGAGAUCUGGAGGAAUACCGGUGGCGAAGGCGGCCCCCUGGACAAAGACUGACGCUCAGGUGCGAAAGCGUGGGGAGCAAACAGGAUUAGAUACCCUGGUAGUCCACGCCGUAAACGAUGUCGACUUGGAGGUUGUKCCCUUGAGGMGUGGCUUCCGGAGCUAACGCGUUAAGUCGACCGCCUGGGGAGUACGGCCGCAAGGUUAAAACUCAAAUGAAUUGACGGGGGCCCGCACAAGCGGUGGAGCAUGUGGUUUAAUUCGAUGCAACGCGAAGAACCUUACCUACUCUUGACAUCCAGAGAACUUUCCAGAGAUGGAUUGGUGCCUUCGGGAACUCUGAGACAGGUGCUGCAUGGCUGUCGUCAGCUCGUGUUGUGAAAUGUUGGGUUAAGUCCCGCAACGAGCGCAACCCUUAUCCUUUGUUGCCAGCGGUCCGGCCGGGAACUCAAAGGAGACUGCCAGUGAUAAACUGGAGGAAGGUGGGGAUGACGUCAAGUCAUCAUGGCCCUUACGAGUAGGGCUACACACGUGCUACAAUGGCGCAUACAAAGAGAAGCGACCUCGCGAGAGCAAGCGGACCUCAUAAAGUGCGUCGUAGUCCGGAUUGGAGUCUGCAACUCGACUCCAUGAAGUCGGAAUCGCUAGUAAUCGUAGAUCAGAAUGCUACGGUGAAUACGUUCCCGGGCCUUGUACACACCGCCCGUCACACCAUGGGAGUGGGUUGCAAAAGAAGUAGGUAGCUUAACCUUCGGGAGGGCGCUUACCACUUUGAUUAGAAGU
RNAcentral lists this ribosomal RNA (1448 nucleotides) under bacterium. RNAcentral describes it as "bacterial SSU rRNA". It matches the Rfam family "Bacterial small subunit ribosomal RNA". The record is from RNAcentral.